AUUCAAUUUGUACCAGGUAUGUAGAUACAUGUUUUCUUUAAUAAAAUUACUACUAUAAUAACUAUUAAAAAAAAUUCUAUGGUCGAAUUAAAUUUAAAAAGUUUUUUCGUAUGAAAUAAUAUAUCAUUUAAAAAAUCUCGAAAUAUGAAGUUACAGUAACUGUUACAGCCAAUUUCAACUUGUUCAAAAAACAAUCUGUUGUGUUCACUAAAUAUAUAAUGAUCAAGUGUUCUGCGACAACAAGCAUCUAUAGUUUAAUACAAUCUAAAGUAAAGUUUAUGUUGACUUUAAGAAAGAGUUAUGGUUGUAAUAUGGAAUUUGCUCCGAUCCGCUUUUUUAAUUUGAAGUGUUGUCUUUUUACAUAUGAAACAAGCAUGGGACUUUUAGCUGUAUGAAUGUAUUGUAUUUAAUAUUGAAUAAUUUUUGAAGCGUCCAGCGUCGGCCAUUUUAUUACUAUUAUAAUAUUUAUCUUCAGGGACAAAUAUAACAAGACAAUGAAAUAGUAUUAUUGCCUUUUUGGCCUUAAAUUCCCGUUAUUAAAAAGAUCUUUUAAAUUAUAACAAGAGGCUGUCACAACGACAGCAAACCGGAUUUAUUAACAUUUAUUUGUGUCCUGGCAAUAUCACACGAACCAUAACUGAUGAGCGGUGAAAGUGAAUAUAUCAAUAUCAAAUUUGACCUCCAUUUUGUAUCAACAUAUUUAAAUUUGAAAGAGCUAAGGUUGAAUGGUUCAUGAGUAAAUGCAACAACAUGAAUGGAAACGCCAUUUUUUUUAUCUUUCAAGAACCAUAACUCCUGAAUGGUAAAAGUCAAAAUCGAUAUUAUUGAAAUUGACCUCCAUUUUGUCAUCAGUAACAACAUAUUAAAAUUUGAAACGCUUUGGUUGAACACUUCAUGAGUAAAUGCACGGACACGACUGGAAACGCCAUUUUUCAAUCUUUCAAGAACCAUAACUCCUAAACGGUACAAGUCAAAAUCGUCAUUCUUGAACUUGACCUUCAUUUUGUUGUCAGUAACAAUGAACGGAUGAACGGUUCAUGAGUAAAUGCACGGACAACAUUUGGUUGCCGCCCGACCGACAGCCCGCCAUACAUCCCCAAUCCAAUAACCGACAUUUUUGUCACAAAAAUCCGGUUAAAAAUCUUAGAACUGUGUUAAUAACCAUGCCUGUAUUGCAGAUGAAGAUGUUGGCACAUGGUUUGGUUUUACUGGUAGUUGUAGUGAUUGUUCAGUCUGGAAUACCUGGAAUAAGUAAUUAUUAUAGUUAUAAUUAUGCUAAUUUAAAAUAUAAGUACUACCCAGCUGAUGUGCACGCUUAUUUUGCAGUUUUCCAUUUUUCCAUCUAAUUUCCAUUGUGGAAACAUUCUGCGUAGCCAAGAAACAUCACAAAAAUUUAAGAGAAGCUUUAUUAUAAAUAUUGAAAUAAUCUCACCAAAUAUAAAGUUGUUUCUUUGGGUGUGCAAAUACUUUUCUAGUAUAUAGAAUAUACUUAAAACUUUAUGAAAAAACAAUGAAAAUCAAGAAAUUUUGCAAAAUAUGAAAAUUAUAUUAAAGAUCAGUGCAAUAUUUGUUUUAUUUUCUGAAUGCCUUGUACUUUAGUCUGGUUUGCACACAUUCAAUGCAGUAAUAUUUAGGCCAAAUAAGGGCCUUAUUAUCCGUACUCCUUUUACAAAAAUAUUGUUGACUAUUUUAGAUAUUUUAAUCUUUGAUGAUACUAUUUUUACCAGUAAAAGGUUGUCCAGGUUGCAGUGUAAAAGGAGUUUGCUAUUUCCCCAAUCAAGAAUGGAAACAAGGUUGUUGGACAAAGAAAUGUUCUGUUUAUUCCAAUGGUUUCGUACAAGGAUGGAGAACACCAGUAGUGAAAACAC
RNAcentral lists this long non-coding RNA (1868 nucleotides) under Mytilus galloprovincialis (Mediterranean mussel). The record is from RNAcentral. Lineage: Eukaryota; Metazoa; Mollusca; Bivalvia; Mytilida; Mytilidae.